UGCCACCGAAUACAUUAGCAUGGGAUAAUGGAAUAGGACCCUGACCUCCUAUUUUCAGUUGGUUUUGUUUACAGCGAGGUUAUAUCAGGGUAAUGAUUAAUAGGGAUAGUUGGGGGCAUUAAUAUUUAAUUGUCAGAGGUGAAAUUCUUGGAUUUAUGAAAGAUUAACUUCUGCGAAAGCGUUUGCCAAGGAUGUUUUCAUUAAUCAAGAACGAAAGUUAGGGGAUCGAAGACGAUCAGAUACCGUCGUAGUCUUAACCAUAAACGAUGCCGACCAGCGAUUAGGAGACGUUGAAUACAAAACACCGCUGUUAAUCCUUUCGGGGGUUAAUAGUUGGUGAAUGACUCCCCUAGCAGCUUGU
Molecule: ribosomal RNA, 361 nt
Filed under: Acanthamoeba lenticulata
Lineage: Eukaryota; Discosea; Longamoebia; Acanthamoebidae
Description: SSU rRNA
Rfam family: Eukaryotic small subunit ribosomal RNA
Source: RNAcentral